GACGGAGGGUGCAAGCGUUGUUCGGAUUGACUGGGCGUAAAGGGCGUGUAGGCGGCUGGCCAAGUCUGGUGUGAAAGCCCGGGGCUCAGCUCCGGAAGUGCAUCGGAAACUAGUCAGCUUGAGCGCGAUAGAGGAGGGUGGAAUUCCUGGUGUAGCGGUGAAAUGCGUAGAUAUCAGGAGGAACACCGGCGGCGAAGGCGGCCCUCUGGAUCGUUGCUGACGCUGAGACGCGAAAGCGUGGGGAG
Molecule: ribosomal RNA, 245 nt
Filed under: uncultured bacterium
Lineage: Bacteria
Description: partial 16S ribosomal RNA
Rfam family: Bacterial small subunit ribosomal RNA
Source: RNAcentral